CUCAGCCUCCGGAGUAGCUGGGACUGCAGGUGAUUCACAUCUAGGUGGCGGCAGUCGAGAAGGCUCGUUUAAAGAAACAAUAACAUUAAAGUGGUGUACACCAAGGACAAAUAACAUUGAAUUACACUAUUGUACUGGAGCUUAUCGGAUUUCACCUGUAGAUGUAAAUAGUAGACCUUCCUCCUGCCUUACUAAUUUUCUUCUAAAUGGUCGUUCUGUUUUAUUGGAACAACCACGAAAGUCAGGUUCUAAAGUCAUUAGUCAUAUGCUUAGUAGCCAUGGAGGAGAGAUUUUUUUGCACGUCCUUAGCAGUUCUCGAUCCAUUCUAGAAGAUCCACCUUCAAUUAGUGAAGGAUGUGGAGGAAGAGUUACAGACUACCGGAUUACAGAUUUUGGUGAAUUUAUGAGGGAAAACAGAUUAACUCCUUUUCUAGACCCCAGAUAUAAAAUCGAUGGAAGUCUUGAGGUCCCUUUGGAACGAGCAAAAGAUCAGUUAGAAAAACAUACCCGUUACUGGCCUAUGAUCAUUUCACAAACCACCAUUUUUAACAUGCAAGCGGUAGUUCCAUUAGCCAGUGUUAUUGUGAAAGAAUCUCUGACAGAAGAAGAUGUGUUAAACUGUCAAAAAACAAUAUACAACUUAGUUGAUAUGGAAAGAAAAAAUGAUC
RNAcentral lists this small RNA (668 nucleotides) under Pan troglodytes (chimpanzee). RNAcentral describes it as "processed transcript". Lineage: Eukaryota; Metazoa; Chordata; Mammalia; Primates; Hominidae. The record is from RNAcentral.